CGAAGGCUAGGGAUUAGGGUUUCUAUUUCUGAAAAGUUCUUUUAGGCCACUGGUAAUUUGGGCCUCGGGGUUAUUGGGUUAGGGUUUGUAUAUUUGGGCCGUAUGGACUGUUGUAAUGAACUUUUGAUUUUUUUUUGUUUUAUUUAUUUUAUUUGAUUUUUGUUUGGGCCAAGGAUAAAUUGGGCCUCUACACCUUUACUCCAACAACUUUAACUUAGAAAACAAUUUAGUAGUUUAAUCAUCAAUUCUCAGUUUGAAAUUCACAUUAAAAAUAAAAAAAACUAUUAUUAUAGCUAAGUAAGGUUUGGACAAGACAAAUAUGAAACCAAGUAAAAAAAUACCUUCCAUCCUAUAACAUUCGAGUUCAAUAUUACAAUCAUAAAAAAAUAUUCAAAAAAUAAACAAAAUAAAAGCGAAAGCAAUAUCAGCAGCAUUGCCCCAAACUCUCCCUCCACCAGCCAUCAUUCAUCAUCUCCCUUUUUUUGAUCAAAA
Molecule: long non-coding RNA, 492 nt
Filed under: Gossypium raimondii (Peruvian cotton)
Lineage: Eukaryota; Viridiplantae; Streptophyta; Magnoliopsida; Malvales; Malvaceae
Description: long non-coding RNA (GRAI_LNC010950)
Source: RNAcentral